This 330-nucleotide unclassified non-coding RNA is filed under the name fungal sp. RNAcentral describes it as "partial internal transcribed spacer region". The stretch from base 1 to 46 matches the Rfam family "Eukaryotic small subunit ribosomal RNA", at positions 1786 to 1831 of the family's 1831-position model. The record is from RNAcentral. Lineage: Eukaryota; Fungi.
AAGUCGUAACAAGGUUUCCGUAGGGGAACCUGCGGAAGGAUCAUUAACGUUUUGUGUGUGUUUUAUAACAUGACAAUAUGUAAAUAUCCUAAAUUAUUAAAGAGAUGUUACAUCAUCUCGCGUCGUAUACGUAUACAAGACAUUGACUGGUAUAUAAAUCCGCACCACGAGUCUAAUGCGUUACGUUCGUUAAUUCUUUUGACCAUCUAGCGGUGGGUCACCAUUGUUUUUUAACAAAAACUUAAACCAUUUAAAAAUGUAACAAUCAAAGUCAAGGUGUAAUACGUUGACAAAACUAUUACCCUGGACGGUGGAUCACUUGGCUCGCGG